AGGGGCGCUGGGGGCCAUCCCCGGCUGAGAUCAGGGCAAAUUGCAGCCCUGGGUCACCUUGAACCUGAUCCGGGUAAUGCCGGCGUAGGGAGUUUGAGGAAU
Molecule: non-coding RNA, 102 nt
Filed under: uncultured Gemmiger sp.
Lineage: Bacteria; Bacillati; Bacillota; Clostridia; Eubacteriales; Oscillospiraceae
Source: RNAcentral